Molecule: small nuclear RNA, 164 nt
Organism: Neolamprologus brichardi
Lineage: Eukaryota; Metazoa; Chordata; Actinopteri; Cichliformes; Cichlidae
Gene: U1
Rfam family: U1 spliceosomal RNA
About the family: U1 is a small nuclear RNA (snRNA) component of the spliceosome (involved in pre-mRNA splicing). Its 5' end forms complementary base pairs with the 5' splice junction, thus defining the 5' donor site of an intron. There are significant differences in sequence and secondary structure between metazoan and yeast U1 snRNAs, the latter being much longer (568 nucleotides as compared to 164 nucleotides in human).
Source: Ensembl
AUACUUACCUGGCAGGGGAGAUACCAUGAUGACGAAGGUGGUUCACCCAGGGCAAAGCUCAGCCAUUGCACUGCAGUUGUGCUGACCCCUGUGAAUUCCCUAAAUGCGGGAAUCUCAACUGCAUAAUUUGUGGUAGUGGAGGACUGCGUUCGUGCUCUCCCCUC